UGUGUAUUGUUAGUAUAGUUAUUACCUUACUUUUCCAAAGUAAAAACCUAGAUAAGGCUAGACAAUACACAA
RNAcentral lists this transfer RNA (72 nucleotides) under Cloacotaenia megalops. RNAcentral describes it as "tRNA-Gly". Lineage: Eukaryota; Metazoa; Platyhelminthes; Cestoda; Cyclophyllidea; Hymenolepididae. The record is from RNAcentral.